UACGGAGGGGACAAGCGUUGUUCGGAAUUACUGGGCGUAAAGCGCACGUAGGCGGCUUUGUAAGUCAGGGGUGAAAUCCCGGGGCUCAACCUCGGAACUGCCUUUGAUACCGCAAAUCUCGAGUCCGGAAGAGGUGAGUGGAAUUCCUAGUGUAGAGGUGAAAUUCGUAGAUAUUAGGAAGAACACCAGUGGCGAAGGCGGCUCACUGGUCCGGUACUGACGCUGAGGUGCGAAAGCGUGGGGAGCAAACAGG
Molecule: ribosomal RNA, 253 nt
Filed under: uncultured bacterium
Lineage: Bacteria
Description: partial 16S ribosomal RNA
Rfam family: Bacterial small subunit ribosomal RNA
Source: RNAcentral